This is a long non-coding RNA of Oryctolagus cuniculus (rabbit), 2601 nucleotides long. RefSeq lists it as uncharacterized. The record is from RefSeq and is a predicted model, not a curated record. Lineage: Eukaryota; Metazoa; Chordata; Mammalia; Lagomorpha; Leporidae.
CCUCCUGCAUGAGAAAGAACGGGGCCGGCUCCUCCGCCCAGCCAAGGAAUCAAAUCGCCAGGCGCUCAGGGGCUGAGUGAGCUGAGCCACCACCCUGCCCUGGGAGACAGGUGGAAUUUCCCCACCACCGCCCACUUACAUUCCAAUUCUGUGCGAGUGUCCGAGUGUCUGAGGCACACGCAGUCCCCAGUCCUACCACAGCAGUGGGAAUGCAGAUGGUGUACAUGGAGCUGUUACCUGGGGAGCCCCGGCAGGAGACCCAGCAGCAAGCUCACCUGGGUAAGAAUGAGCUGGCUCUGAGUGAGAAAUGCAGCCACCGGUUUCGACAGGGGGUGAUGGGCUGUGUUCCCCAGGAGGGCAGUUGCUGUCUAUUUAUGGCAAGCGAUACUGAGUCUCCGUUUACAAAAGUGUUAUCAAGUUUCCCUUUAAAAUACAUUUAUUUAAGCUAAAGUGGGUCAAUCUACAAGGAAAAAAAAAAAAAAAGACGUGGAAAAAAAAAACCAAACAGUGCAGGCGGUGCACAGAUGCGUGAGGCAGGGACCCAGAUCUGGGGAACACCCAGAAAACAACCUGGGUGUCAGGCGAAGGCACCCACCCCAGGGUCGUUCUGAGAUCCCUAACCGUGGCGGUGACCUUGGAGCCUACUCUGGUGUACCUCGGGGCUCCUCCUGGACCCUCCCACAUCGUGUCCCAGGCGGAAGUCCCCAGCUCCCGUGAGCAUGACUUUCUCAAAGAGGAGCUGUGCAGAGCCGCCCUAGGGCCCUGGCCUGCCUGCCUGCCUGCCUCCCUCGGGUAUCUGGGACCCAGGCAAGGCCCUCGGCCCCGGCACAGACCGCUGCUGGGCCGGGGACUGGAGCCGGAGCGGGGGUGGGGCGGGAUGGGGCGCUGGCUCUUUGAAGACGGGAGCCUAACCAACGCCAGCCUUCUGCAACUUGCGAGAGGCUGAGAGCAGCUGGGAGACACAACACCCUCCUGGCUCUCGCCGAGGUGUUACAACUCGGGCCGAGUUGCCUGGCAACCGUGCAGGUGUCUGAUAGGGCGAGCAGCGCGCCCGGGGAGCCAACCGGGGCGCGUGGGGCCGGCCCAGGUGGGUGCCCGUAAUGGGGCCGGGCCGCACCCGCUCUCCACACCCCUCCUGCUGCUUCCCGCUCCUUGCACGCGGGUGGGAGGUCGUGGCGCCUGCCAGACCCCGCGGGACUGUAGAAUCCCACCAUGCUCCUGCCUCUGGGAGGGGGUUCAGCGGCAGAGCGCCUCGACAGGUGCGAGCCGGCCUCCUGGGCCCCACCCAACUGCGGCCCUAAUUCAGCACUUGUGAGAGACUCACGAAUGGGGCAGGUGGCAUCCCCCACGCUAGCAUCCGGGCUCUCCCGUGUCAUAUAAGCACAUUUUCUUCCGUCCCCCAGAGAAGGUGCUAAUGGAGCAGGCACCUUGAGAGGAGGGCCUGGGUGGGAGCCAUUUAGGCGGGUGGGUUCUGAGUCACCAGAGAGCUGGCGGAAAGAGCUGCUGUGAGCUCUGGGCGCCCGGGCUCCAUUUGGGUUCCAGCCAGUGACUGAAUGGCUGUGGAACCUUGAGCUGCUCUCUCAACCUCUCCCUUUGCUCAUUCCUAAAAUGGGGGAACCAGGACCCACUCUGCAGGGCAGCAGUGUGGGUUAAGCCAGGUGAUGCCCACGGGAGGUGCAGCUUGGUGCUUAGCCAAUGCUUAAUCCAAGAAACAUAAAUAGCACUGGGGUGUCGCUGUGACCCCUGGUUAAGCUGCCACAGGCGAUGCUGGCAUCCCAGGCUGGAAGCACUGGUUUGAAUCUCAGCGGCUCCACUUCCAAUCCAGCUCCCUGCUAAUGUACUUGGGAAAGCAAUGAAAGAUGACUGGAGUGCUUGGGCCCUUGCCACCCAUGUGGGGACCAGGAGGAGUUCCUAGUUCCUGGCUCCAGCCUGGCCAUUGUGGCCCUUUGGGGAGUGAACCAGCAGAUGAAAGAUCUCUCUUUUCUAUAUAUAAUUCUGCCUUUCAAAUAAAUAAAUCUUGAAUAAACAAAUAGUUCCAUUUGGAUCUGGAAGCUGUUGCCACUGGGCUCAAGUCACAGAGUGACUCCUACUCAGCACCAUGGUGUUCUGAGCCCCUCACCAGCCCCACUCCCAGUGACCCGUGCAAGUAGCUGCUCACAGCUUGGUCCAGAGAGCAGUGAGCUCUCUGACUUCAGCUUGCAGUGGCUACCCCCAACCAGCAAAUGGCACAGCCCCAUUUUCAAUAAUUCUAGGGAGAAUGGGGCAUUUGGCUUGGUGAUUAAGAUGCUAGCUGUAGGGCCGGCACCACAGCUCAGUAGGCUAAUCCUCCGCCUUGCGGCGCCGGCACACCGGGUUUUAGUCCCGGUCGGGGCGCCGGAUUCUGUCCCGGUUGCCCCUCUUCCAGGCCAGCUCUCUGCUGUGGCCAGGGAGUGCAGUGGAGGAUGGCCCAAGUGCUUGGGCCCUGCACCCCAUGGGAGACCAGGAAAAGCACCUGGCUCCUGGCUUCGGAUCAGCGUGGUGCGCUGGCCGCAGCGUGCCGGCCGCGGCGGCCAUUGGAGGGUGAACCAACGGCAAAAAGGAAGACCUUUGUCUCUGUCUCUC